This is a long non-coding RNA of Humulus lupulus (European hop), 615 nucleotides long. RefSeq lists it as uncharacterized. The transcript has 2 exons. The record is from RefSeq and is a predicted model, not a curated record. Lineage: Eukaryota; Viridiplantae; Streptophyta; Magnoliopsida; Rosales; Cannabaceae.
CAUUUCUAAAUAUUGAUGUUUGUUUGUGUUGCUCUUAUAGAUACUGAAUUUUUUGCUUCUGUUGCGAUCUUUAAUGGUGACAGGAACAACCUCGAAUUACUUUUUAGACAAUAGAAUUAAUAAAGACGAGAUCCUUUUCCCUGGCGUUGGCUGCUUCUUGGUUGUAGUUUGCCUUGCUUCUACUGUCCACUCAUCUAAUGCAGUUGAUAAUAAAGAAAAGCUUGAAGGUUUUUCAUCUAAAGAGGGGUGUUUGGGAAAAGCACUCUCAUUGGACUGUCCAUAUGUUUCUUUGCUGGUGUUUGCUUUUCUCUAUUCUCACCAACAUUCAACUUGGCAACAAAUGAUCAAUGGCAUACAUUGAAAGAUGGGGUUCCUCACUUGGUUGUCUACACUGCAUUCUUUUACUUCUCAAUAUCUUGCUUUUUCCUUGCUAUAAUCCUCACAUCACAUUCCUUUACUACCCUGUGCUGGACUUACCGAAAUCAUCAUUCAAGGCUUAUAUGUUGAAUAUUUAAGACUACUUGAAUACUUUAAGAACAUUUUGUUGUUGAUGAUAGUGUUGAAUGUUUUCAACUAAUUUGUGGAUUGUUAAUAUAAUGUUGAAUGUUUUUACUA